RNAcentral lists this ribosomal RNA (518 nucleotides) under Nocardia sp. M9-C5. RNAcentral's name for it is "bacterial SSU rRNA". It matches the Rfam family "Bacterial small subunit ribosomal RNA", at positions 1 to 491 of the family's 1533-position model. Lineage: Bacteria; Bacillati; Actinomycetota; Actinomycetes; Mycobacteriales; Nocardiaceae. The record is from RNAcentral.
UGAGCUUGAUCCUGGCUCAUGGCAAGCGUUGUCCGGCCUGAGCUUGAUCCUGGCUCAGGACGAACGCUGGCGGCGUGCUUAACACAUGCAAGUCGAGCGGUAAGGCCCUUCGGGGUACACGAGCGGCGAACGGGUGAGUAACACGUGAGCAACCUGCCCCUGACUCCGGGAUAAGCGGUGGAAACGCCGUCUAAUACCGGAUAUGACCUGCCACCUCAUGGUGGCGGGUGGAAAGUUUUAUCGGUCAGGGAUGGGCUCGCGGCCUAUCAGCUUGUUGGUGGGGUAACGGCCUACCAAGGCGAUUACGGGUAGCCGGCCUGAGAGGGCGACCGGCCACACUGGGACUGAGACACGGCCCAGACUCCUGCGGGAGGCAGCAGUGGGGAAUAUUGCACAAUGGGCGAAAGCCUGAUGCAGCGACGCCGCGUGGGGGAUGACGGCCUUCGGGUUGUAAACCUCUUUUACCACCAACGCAGGCUCCGGGUUCUCUCGGGGUUGACGGUAGGUGGGGAAUAAGG